Molecule: long non-coding RNA, 1620 nt
Organism: Chelonus insularis
Lineage: Eukaryota; Metazoa; Arthropoda; Insecta; Hymenoptera; Braconidae
Exons: 5
Source: RefSeq, a predicted model, not a curated record
UCGAUUGUAAAAACCUAAAAAUUCUAUUCAUCACAGAAACAGGUGUAACAAAAGUCAUUAGCAGUUUUCAAAAAAUGUUUUCCUUCAUGGAAACAUUGUUCUAUAAUUUUAAGAAUGAAUCUUUCUUUUUCUAAGAAAAAUAUACCAGAAGACUAUUAGAAAUGCAUUAAAAGUAUUUGAAUCUUACACAAGAACAGUGAGUAGGUAAGAGAUGAAGCAGCAGAUGUUAAACGUACUCGUUUGACUAGCGUUUAAAUAUAAGUAAUGUAAGUAACGGUUAGAACAAAAAGACCGUAUAAUGUAAGAGUAUUCAACGGACAUCAUUUGCCGCUACUGUAGUCGUUUGAAAUAUUAACCGCUUGCUAAAUAACAUCCCUCAAUCUCCGAGCACUUCGAAGGUAUCUCUAUAUGCAUAUAUGAGUAUACCAAUUACAUACACGACAUAUAUAGUCAAUAGUUGGGCAUAAGAAUUAACCAUAAACAUACUAACAUCCCCCAUCUCAACAUCUAUGUGUAUUUCCUAGCAAGAUACAGCAAUAUGUCUUCUUGCUUCCUUCAACUUUGUCGACCCUCUUACUGUAAUUAAUCAAGAUGCUCCUCUCCGUAUCUAACUUUACCCACGGUAGACAUUUACACGCAAGCAUCCGUGACCUGACAAUCAGCAUACACAGCAGAACAAAAGACUUAUCUUGGACAACUCAUCCAAUUUUCACUUAAUCAUUCUUAAUAUCUAAAUUAUUAUCUAAUAUACUCACACAAAGGAGGAGAAGAUUAUUUUGGGCACGUUUUUUGUUCAAAGUCAGUUGAUAGUUGCUGAAACUUAAUUUGAGCUGUCCAUUAUUUUUAUGACUGGAAAACUGACUGGUUUUAAUCCAAAACUUUGGCUGAAACUCUUGAUUUUGAUGAUUGCUUUUCAUUUCAAAGAUAUCACCAUUAUAUUGGGAAGUUUCUACAUUCAAACUCGAGACUUUUCUCUAUGGCUUGGCCCGAACUUGGACAUGAAGGGAGAAUAAUGGCCUCUAUACUCGUGGCUCCAGGAAAACAGAAACGAGUGUUUAUCGAGCCGUAUAUUUGUUUUCAAUAGUCUACUGAAGAUCCUUGGAGAUUCAAUUCUACAUAAAUGAUUAAUCAUCACAAGUCUUUAUUAUUUCCAUCUACAUACUGAUUAUAAACAAUGUAUCACAAUAAACUGCGGAAAAGAGCAUUUUUGAACAAGUGUAUGUCUUCAUAAUAGUUUGCUCGCGUGUCAGACUUGCCAUGCAUCCAGGGUAUGAUGAAAACUCACGCGGACUCAUUAAAAUGACAAGAUAAUUUCACGACAAGUUUAUCACGCUACGCAUAUCAGUUCAAAAGAUAAGGAGGUAUAAGAACGUUAACUAGAAUGGACGAUCAACUGUAUUAUCUAUUAAAGACUUGUCCCCUCUUCUACUGGAAUAUGAAAUUAUCAACUCAUUUCAAGUAAUGGGACAUAUCAAGUAAUAUGUGCAUGACAUGAUAGAUGAUAAUAACAAUGUAGUAUUGACAACAAAAAUACACUUUAAAAGUUUAUAGAAUAAUAUUUUGAUGAUAAAUAUGCUAUUAUACGCCAUAAUCUUAUGAUACUUGAAGCCAUCAGUAAAA